Molecule: long non-coding RNA, 500 nt
Organism: Centruroides sculpturatus (bark scorpion)
Lineage: Eukaryota; Metazoa; Arthropoda; Arachnida; Scorpiones; Buthidae
Exons: 4
Source: RefSeq, a predicted model, not a curated record
CUGCGCAUGGCAUUGUAUAUUUCGAAUGGUAAGUGUUCUUUAAAGUCGUUUAUAAAGAAAUCUAGAAGUUUUUUUAACACAUUUGACAAUAGAUAUCACUGAAAUAAUGCCUGGAUGUUCGGAUUUUGGUUGUUCUAAUUCUUCUGUAAAAGGAUAUAUCGUGAAAUGUUUUCCAAGAGAUCCCGUUCGGAGAAAAAUUUGGGCUAAAUAAGUGAGCCGAAGAACCUACAAAUAAUUAUUGUUUGUGUGAAGUUCAUUUUGAACCAUAAAUGUGGAAAAAGAUUUAGCCUCAUUGGUCGAACGUUCGUCACGUGCCAAACGUUCAACCAAUCUUAUAUCAUAAUUUUAAAUUCAAAAUUCGAAGAAUACCGUUAUUGCAGAUUAACAUUCCACAACAACAAAAAUGGAAUUAAAAGAGAGCACUAAGCAAGAACUAUCCAAUUAUUUAGGAUUUUCUAGUCUUCCCAAUCAAGUUCACAGAAAAUCUGUGAGNAAAAAGA